Molecule: long non-coding RNA, 222 nt
Filed under: Elaeis guineensis (African oil palm)
Lineage: Eukaryota; Viridiplantae; Streptophyta; Magnoliopsida; Arecales; Arecaceae
Description: long non-coding RNA (EGUI_LNC054347)
Source: RNAcentral
CAGUUUGAUAGAUGAAUGCCCUAGAAAUCAAUCUUGACUGAUGCAUAUAAUAUUUUUAGGAUAUGAUUUUACACUAAAUGGAUAGUUAUAUUACUAUUCAUAUUUUAUAUGUCCAUUAAUUAUCCAAAGGACUAACAAGAUGUUGACAUAUAUUCUCAAAGAGUUGAGAAUUUGAGACAUGUGUCAUUGAUGGUUAAUUUCUAAAUUACUCCUGAUCAUAGG